AUUGAACGCUGGCGGCAUGCUUUACACAUGCAAGUCGAACGGUAACAGGUUAAGCUGACGAGUGGCGAACGGGUGAGUAAUGCAUCGGAACGUGCCCGAUCGUGGGGGAUAACGCAGCGAAAGCUGCGCUAAUACCGCAUACGAUCUGAGGAUGAAAGCGGGGGACCGUAAGGCCUCGCGCGAUCGGAGCGGCCGAUGUCAGAUUAGGUAGUUGGUGGGGUAAAGGCUCACCAAGCCAACGAUCUGUAGCUGGUCUGAGAGGAUGACCAGCCACACUGGGACUGAGACAGGGCCCAGACUCCUACGGGAGGCAGCAGUGGGGAAUUGUGGAAAAGGGGCGAAGGCCUGAUCCAGCAAUGCCGCGUGCAGGAAGAAGGCCUUCGGGUUGUAAACUGCUUUUGUACGGAGCGAAAAGGCUCUCUCUAAUACAGGGGGCUCAUGACGGUACCGUAAGAAUAAGCACCGGCUAACUACGUGCCAGCAGCCGCCGCUG
Molecule: ribosomal RNA, 493 nt
Filed under: uncultured bacterium
Lineage: Bacteria
Description: partial 16S ribosomal RNA
Rfam family: Bacterial small subunit ribosomal RNA
Source: RNAcentral